UUGCAACAAAGGAAAAGACAGAAUUAGACUUGAAGGGAAAAGGUGCAGAACAAAAGGUUCUCUGGGAGGGGGAAUCCACCUGGCAACAAUUCCACUUCCUGUUCCUGCCACUUGCUUCCCAUGUGUCUUCCCAGGUCUCCUCUGCUGUGAACUCAUCCACGGACAAAGGUCCUGCUGGAGACCAGACUGAGCCCUCCAUUUCUCUAAUCCUGGGGUAUCUUUCUAUCUCUUAGAGGAUGCCCCCACCAUGCCAUCCCACAUCUGCUGAUGCAUGGACUGACUAGGACAUCAGACGCCAUUGCUGAGGCUCGGACACUGGCAGAUAAAAUGUUAGGGGAACCAGGGGCUGCCCAGGGGACAAUCAGGAAUCAGGUUUCUGGUUAAGCAGUGACAUCACAAACCUUUAUUAUCCCUCUCCCUGCCCAAGCACAAACUCUGCCUUUUCUGGAUACAAAUGUGGCCCAUGAUAAUCUCGGAAUGUUUCCAGCAGUGAAGGAUGGGGGUAUCGAGCCUGCCCUGAUGAUGCCUUGAACAGGUCUCCUGUGCUGUGAACUCAUCCAGGGACAAAGGUCCUGCUGGAGACCAGACUGAGCCCUCCAUUUCUCUAAUCCUGGGGUAUCUUUCUAUCUGUUAGAGGAUGCCCCCACCAUGCCAUCCCACAUCUGCUGAUGCAUGGACUGACUAGGACAUCAGACGCCAUUGCUGAGGCUCGGACACUGCCAG
Molecule: long non-coding RNA, 723 nt
Filed under: Homo sapiens (human)
Lineage: Eukaryota; Metazoa; Chordata; Mammalia; Primates; Hominidae
Description: HSALNT0360409
Source: RNAcentral